RNAcentral lists this ribosomal RNA (497 nucleotides) under uncultured bacterium. Its description in RNAcentral is "partial 16S ribosomal RNA". It matches the Rfam family "Bacterial small subunit ribosomal RNA", at positions 28 to 507 of the family's 1533-position model. The record is from RNAcentral.
GAUGAACGCUGGCGGCGUGCCUAAUACAUGCAAGUCGAGCGAACAGACGAGGAGCUUGCUCCUCUGACGUUAGCGGCGGACGGGUGAGUAACACGUGGAUAACCUACCUAUAAGACUGGGAUAACUUCGGGAAACCGGAGCUAAUACCGGAUAAUAUAUUGAACCGCAUGGUUCAAUAGUGAAAGACGGUUUUGCUGUCACUUAUAGAUGGAUCCGCGCCGCAUUAGCUAGUUGGUAAGGUAACGGCUUACCAAGGCAACGAUGCGUAGCCGACCGGAGAGGUGGGUCGGCCACACGGGAACUUAGACACGGUCCAGACUCCUACGGGAGGCAGCAGUAUGGAAUCUUCCGCAAUGGGCGAAAGCCUUACGGAGCAACGCCGCGUGAGUGAUGAAGGUCUUCGGAUCGUAAAACUCUGUUAUUAGGGAAGAACAAAUGUGUAAGUAACUAUGCACGUCUUGACGGUACCUAAUCAGAAAGCCACGGCUAACUACGUG